Molecule: ribosomal RNA, 429 nt
Filed under: Verrucomicrobiota bacterium
Lineage: Bacteria; Pseudomonadati; Verrucomicrobiota
Description: Verrucomicrobia bacterium partial 16S ribosomal RNA
Rfam family: Bacterial small subunit ribosomal RNA
Source: RNAcentral
UAGGGAAUCUUCCGCAAUGGACGAAAGUCUGACGGAGCAACGCCGCGUGAGUGAAGAAGGCUUUCGGUUCGUAAAACUCUGUUGUUAGGGAAGAAAAAAUGUAUAGUAACUAUAUACAAAAGAGACGGUACCUAACCAGAAAGCCACGGCUAACUACGUGCCAGCAGCCGCGGUAAUACGUAGUUGGCAAGCGUUGUCCGGAAUUAUUGGGCGUAAAGCGCGCGCAGGUGGUUUAGAAAGUCUGAUGUGAAAGCCCACGGCUCAACCGUGGAGGGUCAUUGGAAACGAAUAAACUUGAGUGCAGGAGAGAAAAGUGGAAUUCCUAGUGUAGCGGUGAAAUGCGUAGAGAUUAGGAGGAACACCGGUGGCGAAAGCGGAUUUUUGGACUGAAACUGACACUGAGGCGCGAAAGCGUGGGGAGCAAACAGG